CCUACGGGAGGCAGCAGUGGGGAAUAUUGCACAAUGGGGGAAACCCUGAUGCAGCGACGCCGCGUGAGUGAAGAAGUAUUUCGGUAUGUAAAGCUCUAUCAGCAGGGAAGAAAAUGACGGUACCUGAUUAAGAAGCCCCGGCUAACUACGUGCCAGCAGCCGCGGGAAUACGUAGGGGGCAAGCGUUAUCCGGAUUUACUGGGUGUAAAGGGAGCGUAGACGGCAGCACAAGUCUGGAGUGAAAUGCCGGGGCUUAACCCCGGAACUGCUUUGGAAACUGGGCAGCUAGAGUGCAGGAGAGGUAAGUGGAAUUCCUAGUGUAGCGGUGAAAUGCGUAGAUAUUAGGAGGAACACCAGUGGCGAAGGUGGCUUACUGGACUGUAACUGACGUUGAGGCUCGAAAGCGUGGGGAGCAAACAGGAUUAGAUACCCUGGUAGUC
RNAcentral lists this ribosomal RNA (440 nucleotides) under uncultured bacterium. RNAcentral describes it as "partial 16S ribosomal RNA". It matches the Rfam family "Bacterial small subunit ribosomal RNA", at positions 338 to 795 of the family's 1533-position model. The record is from RNAcentral.